Pelobates cultripes (western spadefoot toad) is the source of this 225-nucleotide non-coding RNA. NCBI's taxonomy places the organism in Eukaryota, Metazoa, Chordata, Amphibia, Anura, Pelobatidae. The record is from the annotation of a GenBank genome assembly.
GUCACUCUAUGGUGAUCAGAAAACAAUUAAAAAUCACACGCCUUAAUUUAUUGACGAGCAGGAGAACCAAACUAUUUAGUUUAGAAAAACGUCGCCUGAGAGGGGAUAUGAUAACAUUAUACAAAUAUAUUCGGGUCCAAUACAAACCAUUGUGUGGAAAUCUAUUCACAAACCGGACUUUACAUAGGACACGAGGUCAUGCGUUUAGACUGUAAGAAAGAAGAU